RNAcentral lists this transfer RNA (67 nucleotides) under Harpago chiragra. RNAcentral's name for it is "tRNA-His". Lineage: Eukaryota; Metazoa; Mollusca; Gastropoda; Littorinimorpha; Strombidae. The record is from RNAcentral.
GCUAAGUUAGUUUAUUUAAAAUGCCAGCCUGUGGAUUUGGAGAAGAAAGAUAGUAUUUCACCUAGCC